This 253-nucleotide ribosomal RNA is filed under the name uncultured bacterium. RNAcentral's name for it is "partial 16S ribosomal RNA". It matches the Rfam family "Bacterial small subunit ribosomal RNA", at positions 524 to 776 of the family's 1533-position model. The record is from RNAcentral.
CACGUAGGAGGCGAGCGUUGUCCGGAAUCAUUGGGCGUAAAGAGCGCGUAGGCGGCCUGAUCAGUCGGGUGUGAAAGCCCGGGGCUCAACCCCGGAACGGCACCCGAGACGGUCAGGCUGGAGACCGGGUGAGGAGGGUGGAAUAGCCAGUGUAGAGGUGAAAUUCGUAGAUAUUGGCUGGAACACCGGUGGCGAAAGCGGCUCUCUGGCCCGGUUCUGACGCUGAGGCGCGAAAGCGUGGGGAGCAAACAGG